CCUACGGGUGUCAGCAGUGGGGGAUAUUACACAAUGGUGGAAACCCUGCUGCAGCGAUGCCGCGUGAAUGAAGACGGCCUUCGGGUUGUAAAGUUCUUUCUCAGGGGACGAAAAUGACGGUACCCUGCACGACAGCUCCGGCUAACUACGUGCCAGCAGCCGCGGUAAUACGUAGGGAGCAAGCGUUGUCCGGAAUUACUGGGUGUAAAGGGUGCGUCGGCGGGAGGAUAAGUUGAAGGUGAAAGCUAUGGGCUCAACCCAUAGCUGCGUUCAAAACUGUUCUUCUUGAGUGAAGUAGAGGCAGGCGGAAUUCCUAGUGUAGCGGUGAAAUGCGUAGAUAUUAGGAGGAACACCAGUGGCGAAGGCGGCCUGCUGGGCUUUUACUGACGCUGAGGCUCGAAAGCGUGGGUAGCAAACAGGAUUAGAUACCCGUGUAGUC
This 439-nucleotide ribosomal RNA is filed under the name uncultured bacterium. Its description in RNAcentral is "partial 16S ribosomal RNA". It matches the Rfam family "Bacterial small subunit ribosomal RNA", at positions 338 to 795 of the family's 1533-position model. The record is from RNAcentral.